Molecule: long non-coding RNA, 537 nt
Organism: Suricata suricatta (meerkat)
Lineage: Eukaryota; Metazoa; Chordata; Mammalia; Carnivora; Herpestidae
Exons: 2
Source: RefSeq, a predicted model, not a curated record
AGGAGAAAUAGCAGAGAGUAACUUCACCAAGAGGACUGUAAAAUGUGCUGACACCUUUAAAGAAGAGGGGAAAGCUGUAGAGGCUGCUCACAAGGAUCCAUUAUGGUGGCCACCGGCAGCCAGCUACCUUCCCAGACUCUCCUUCAAUUCAUUUACCAGUUCCCUAUACAGGACCUCCUGUUUCAUCAGAGUUUGGCAGGUACCUAGGAGGGACGGUGAGAAGCACAAGCUGCUGGCCUAGCCACCCAGGCCGGGCCCAGGCCAUCCAGGGUGAUUACGAUCUUGAGUGCUGGCCCUUCCUUGAGAGAGUCUGAUCACACAAAGCCUCUGUUUGUUACAUUCCUAGACAAAACACCUGCCCUCAGCGGCUUAAGUUCCCUUUGUGGGAGUCCUUAUCUUUUUCUUAACUGUAAUAGUAGAGGUUGGAUCAUGCUGUUGCUAGAAAUUUACAUUCCAUACAAAUACCUCAGUGCUUUGUAUACCAAAUGCAUUAGUUAGAACAUGCACUUAAUAAAUUUAAAAAUUAUUUAGUAUCAA